This 519-nucleotide ribosomal RNA is filed under the name Salmonella enterica subsp. enterica serovar Newport. RNAcentral describes it as "partial 23S ribosomal RNA". It matches the Rfam family "Bacterial large subunit ribosomal RNA", at positions 1 to 561 of the family's 2925-position model. The record is from RNAcentral. Lineage: Bacteria; Pseudomonadati; Pseudomonadota; Gammaproteobacteria; Enterobacterales; Enterobacteriaceae.
UUAAGCGACUAAGCGUACACGGUGGAUGCCCUGGCAGUCAGAGGCGAUGAAGGACGUGCUAAUCUGCGAUAAGCGCCGGUAAGGUGAUAUGAACCGUUAUAACCGGCGAUUUCCGAAUGGGGAAACCCAGUGUGAUUCGUCACACUAUCAUUAACUGAAUCCAUAGGUUAAUGAGGCGAACCGGGGGAACUGAAACAUCUAAGUACCCCGAGGAAAAGAAAUCAACCGAGAUUCCCCCAGUAGCGGCGAGCGAACGGGGAGGAGCCCAGAGCCUGAAUCAGCAUGUGUGUUAGUGGAAGCGUCUGGAAAGGCGCGCGAUACAGGGUGACAGCCCCGUACACAAAAGCGCAUGUGCUGUGAGCUCGAUGAGUAGGGCGGGACACGUGGUAUCCUGUCUGAAUAUGGGGGGACCAUCCUCCAAGGCUAAAUACUCCUGACUGACCGAUAGUGAACCAGUACCGUGAGGGAAAGGCGAAAAGAACCCCGGCGAGGGGAGUGAAAAAGAACCUGAAACCGUGU